This 465-nucleotide ribosomal RNA is filed under the name uncultured bacterium. Its description in RNAcentral is "partial 16S ribosomal RNA". It matches the Rfam family "Bacterial small subunit ribosomal RNA", at positions 28 to 507 of the family's 1533-position model. The record is from RNAcentral.
GACGAACGCUGGCGGCGUGCUUAACACAUGCAAGUCGAACGGAAAGGCCCUGCUUGCAGGGUACUCGAGUGGCGAACGGGUGAGUAACACGUGGGUGAUCUGCCCUGCACUUCGGGAUAAGCCUGGGAAACUGGGUCUAAUACCGGAUAGGAGCCAUUUUUAGUGUGAUGGUUGGAAAGUUUUUUCGGUGUAGGAUGAGCUCGCGGCCUAUCAGCUUGUUGGUGGGGUAAUGGCCUACCAAGGCGGCGACGGGUAGCCGGCCUGAGAGGGUGGACGGCCACAUUGGGACUGGGAUACGGCCCAGACUCCUACGGGAGGCAGCAGUGGGGAAUAUUGCACAAUGGGCGCCAGCCUGAUGCAGCGACGCCGCGUGGGGGAUGACGGCCUUCGGGUUGUAAACUCCUUUCGCUAGGGACGAAGCUUUUUGUGACGGUACCUAGAUAAGAAGCACCGGCUAACUACGUG